UGCAUCAGAAGUAGAGAUUGUGCUGCUACACACCCUUUGGGCCAAAAGAGAUGCGGGAAGGGGCACACCCGCCUGAUGAA
Molecule: non-coding RNA, 80 nt
Submitted as: unclassified sequences
Source: Rfam